Amphibalanus amphitrite is the source of this 913-nucleotide long non-coding RNA. RefSeq lists it as uncharacterized. The record is from RefSeq and is a predicted model, not a curated record. Lineage: Eukaryota; Metazoa; Arthropoda; Thecostraca; Balanomorpha; Balanidae. The transcript has 3 exons.
ACCUGCCGGAGAAGCUCCCGCCGCCCCGCCUGUGCUGGACCUUGCCGUCCUCUGCCACGAGCAGGGCCGGCUACGGUGGCUGCCGGAAUUGGUUCUCGGUAUUGACAUAGGCGCAGUGAACUCAAGCCCGGAAUUCCGGACCAAUCUGGCAAGGCUUGUCCGGCGCUUACAAGGUCAUGUGCAUCCGGACCGGCACACGGGCGACGAAUUCUUGUCGAGAGCACUGGGAGGGAAGACUCCUCCCUCCAGCUACAGCUCUGCGAGUGGCCCGCCGUCGCCGCAGCCAUUCUGAUUCGACCCGGAGCUCCUAACCCGGGAGGAGUUGAUCCGCGAGUGGCGGCGCUAUGCGCUGGCCGUAUCGGAGGCGGCCGCCCGGUGGGCCCUCUAUUUCGGCCCCCACCUGGCCGGUCUCGACCCACUGGGAGUCGUAGGCUUCCAUUGGAUGGUCGGCCUGGGGGCCGACAUCGUGAGGGCCCCGGCCGAGGGAUCGUUAGUCUCGCCUUUGGUGAGGCUGGUGCGACCGCCGGUGCCGUACCAGACGGGCGCCCCGCCCCGAUGGUAGCGCGGCUGCGAAGUGUGCGCGUUCUUUGUGAGUGCUAGUGUUCCUUGUUUUCAAUAAACCCGCGCAAUGUGUCUUGUCGAUUUUGGAGGGUCCAUCUGGCAGGGCUCAACGGAAGAGUGACUUGAGGAGGUUUCUGAGAGAAACUGCGGCAUAUUAAGCUUCUGACUCAACGCACUCGGGUAUAUAGGGCCUUGCGCACUCGAACAACUCGAUUUAUACCUUAGAUAUCUGCUCGUCCCCCAGCCUGACGGUUUUGGUGCUCGGCACGCACUGACUCAUUUCUUUCCUAUCUUGGUACGAAAUAUCGGAGAACCUAACAAACCACCGCGCGGUACAACACUUGGGCCGAAG